Molecule: ribosomal RNA, 430 nt
Filed under: Pseudomonadota bacterium
Lineage: Bacteria; Pseudomonadati; Pseudomonadota
Description: Proteobacteria bacterium partial 16S ribosomal RNA
Rfam family: Bacterial small subunit ribosomal RNA
Source: RNAcentral
UGGGGAAUAUUGGACAAUGGGGGGAACCCUGAUCCAGCCAUGCCGCGUGUGUGAAGAAGGCCUUAUGGUUGUAAAGCACUUUAAGCGAGGAGGAGGGUACUGGUAUUAAUACUACCAGCUACUGGACGUUACUCGCAGAAUAAGCACCGGCUAACUCUGUGCCAGCAGCCGCGGUAAUACAGAGGGUGCGAGCGUUAAUCGGAUUUACUGGGCGUAAAGCGUGCGUAGGUGGUUCGUUAAGUUGAAUGUGAAAGCCCCGGGCUCAACCUGGGAACUGCAUCCAAAACUGGCGAGCUAGAGUAGGGCAGAGGGUGGUGGAAUUUCCUGUGUAGCGGUGAAAUGCGUAGAUAUAGGCAGGAACACCAGUGGCGAAGGCGACCACCUGGGCUCAUACUGACACUGAGGUGCGAAAGCGUGGGGAGCAAACAGG